This 183-nucleotide small RNA is filed under the name Lactobacillus porci. RNAcentral's name for it is "HNH endonuclease-associated RNA and ORF (HEARO) RNA". It matches the Rfam family "HNH endonuclease-associated RNA and ORF (HEARO) RNA", at positions 6 to 128 of the family's 211-position model. Lineage: Bacteria; Bacillati; Bacillota; Bacilli; Lactobacillales; Lactobacillaceae. The record is from RNAcentral.
UAACCCCUUACUGAAGUAAGGGGCUUGAAGUGCAAGCUUCAGGUCUCUUAUCUUUAGCAGGGAAGCUGGAGAAAUCCGGCUUUCAUUGUCUAGACUAAGCAAUCCAGUCGGCUUCGGCUGACUGGAUUGCUACGUUAUCCAUGUCAUCACACCCAAGGAUGAUGCCCAAGUCUUUGGCUCUGU